Molecule: ribosomal RNA, 993 nt
Filed under: Triticum aestivum (bread wheat)
Lineage: Eukaryota; Viridiplantae; Streptophyta; Magnoliopsida; Poales; Poaceae
Description: partial small subunit ribosomal RNA
Source: RNAcentral
AUGAUAGACUCAGCCUCCAUAGGAGCAGCAGCGUCCACGUUCUCUGAAGAGACCAGUUUAGCUUCAAUCACCGCGCCUCCAGCCCCGGCAGGAGCACUCUCCACGUUCUCUGAUAAGCCAAGGUUGGAUUCAGUUUCACCUACAGCCUCAACAGCGGCAACACUCUUCAAUGUCAUCUCUGCAGUGCCCAGAUUACAUUUGGUCACACCUACUGCCUCGAGAGGAGCAGCACUUGCCAAUGCCAUCUCUGCAGAGCCCAGAUCACAUUCUGUCCCACUUACAGCCUCAACAGCAGCGGUAAUCGCCAAUGCAAUCUGUGCUGAGCCCAGACUACAUUCAGUCACACCUACAGCCUCAGCAGGAGCACUCGCUUCAUUCUCCACAGACCACGGGUUAGCUUCAGUCAUGGUGCCUCCAGACUCGGCAGGAGCACUCACUGAGUUCUCCGCAGACCCGACGUUAGCUUCUGUCAUGGCGCCUCCAGCCUUGGCAGGAGCACUCGCUGCGUUCUCCACAGACCCCGGGUUAGCUUCUGCCAGCCUCGAUAGGAACACUCACUGCUUUAUCUCCAGACACAAGGAUAGAUUCAGUUUCACCUCCUUCCUCGACAGGAGCAGCACCCUCCAUGUUCUCUGCCGAGCCCAGGUGAGCUUCAGUCAUGACGACUCCAGCCUCAACAGCAGCAGCCCUUGCUGCAUUCUCCACAGACCAAAGGUUAGCUUCAGUCAUGGCGCCUCCUGCCACGAUAGGGACACUCACUGCUUUAUCUCCAGACACAAGGAUAGAUUCAGUUUCACCUCCUUCCUCGACAGGAGCAGCACUCUCCAUGUUCUCUGCCGAGCCCAGGUGAGCUUCAGUCGUCGUGCCUCCAGCAUCAACAGCAACAUUCUCAGGUUCAGCAGUGUCCACAGCAGCAGCACUCGUUGUGUUCUCUUGAGAAAUCAGCACACAUACAUCAUCUACAACCCUAGUUGUUUCCUCCCCGUCCCCUGA